Molecule: long non-coding RNA, 3373 nt
Organism: Daphnia magna
Lineage: Eukaryota; Metazoa; Arthropoda; Branchiopoda; Diplostraca; Daphniidae
Exons: 12
Source: RefSeq, a predicted model, not a curated record
UAACCUUUUCCUUAACAAAUGCCACAUGUCUUGGCACUGUCUAGUUGACAUACAAUUACUGUCUUAAACACAUUUAUUUUUCAUGUUUAUUCCCCUAAAAGAUAUCAAUGGAACUUCCAGUUAUUUCCUCAAAAGGAAAUUCAGUUGGAUGAGCACCACAGUUCCUUUAGUUUUCAUUUAACAGAUGCAAUUAAAUCAGCAUUACACACCCGCAACUAAUAAAGAUGAUGGGCAGAGACCUUUCUGAAGCAUCUGAAUAGUGGUAGCUAUUGCAGCAAAAUAUUUUGUUCCAAUAAGGGCCUCUUUCCUUAUUGUGAUGAAAUAUUUCUUUUCGUUACACAUGUCUUUAUUGUCCAUGUUUCUUUGUAUAAUUAAAUCCAUCCCCCCCUUGAAAAAUCCUCAAUUAAAACACUGGUGUCAACUUGAGAAAAAUCUUAAAGUCCAGUCUGCUUUUGAACUUCAAAUGUGCUUAAUCAUUGAGUGUAUUGUUGCCAGAAUUUUAUACAAGAUAAUUUUGGAAGUAUUGUUUUGCACCCCAAGAAUGGACAAAAAAAUAUGCUUUAUUUCCUAUUAAAUUCAGGAUUUGAUUUACCAAUUCAUAGUAAAGUGAUAUUUGUUGGAUAUGUGCCUAAUUACAGAUGACUUGGUGUACACUUCACCUUGCAUAGGUUUUCAUUCUUGCCUCACGGUUGUGCGCAUCAUUUUUUGUCUAGAUGAGGACAAACUGUAGCAAAAACAGUCAUUUGAAUUCAUUCGAGAAGCGAUCUGAGCUACCGUGUUGCAAUUAGCGGAACAGGAUACAAUAUCUACCAAUAAGUGUAUUUAAAAUCAACCAGUUAACUAGUAAGUAAUCUUUCAAAUUGGAUUGACGAAGUCUUUCCUAGCACCCGUCCUCAAGAUUCCUGCGAGGCGAAAUUCAGCACACGAUAGUGAAGAGUUGGACAACAAAUAGUUGGAAAUGGCGACCGAAAAUUUCACGAUUCUUUCAUUUUUCUCACAUGUUAUGCAGGAAAAGGUUGAAACAGUUGCGGAUGAAGAGGAAAUUGCCGGAAAACCGGCCUAUUCCAAUGAUAAUGCAUCUGGGCCGAGUCUGCGAAGAGAAAAACCCCUUGUCUUAACUAGAAAAGGCAAAAGGGAGACAUUGUUCCUCUGCUACUUCUGGGGCCCACCGUCGCCGAAAGAAAAUCACCUCGUCUCGGUGAUGGCAGGAAAAUGAACUAUUGUGGGUCUGGAUCUUGAUGUCAAGGAAUGUUGGAUGUAUUCCCCAGUGAGCGUAGAUCAAUUUCGAGGAUACGUAGCAAAGGGCUUCAUGUAAGUAUGAAGCCCCAAAUCACAAAGUCAUAGUUACGAUUCCAGGUGUUCGCCAUUGUAGUAAUUGGCAUGAACUUGUAACACCUUCACUGCUGAAUCUUAUCAUUGGUAAGUUUUUCAACAUUAUUUGAAUUUUGCAGAAAUAUUACUGAGAAGGAAUCCUACUUAAUCAUACAAGUAUUUCUGUCCAGUGAGUCUCGGAAGAUUAUCGCGCACGCAAAGAGAAAUAGACAAAUUUAAUUAAUUUUUCUAACAUAUUUUAUCAAACCAUUUGCCUGAGACAGUUGUAGGUCAUCCACUAUUGAAACUGAACUGGUAGAAACUUGGGGAGUGGUGCAGGAGCAAUACCACACGUUGAAGAACAACAGCACACAGCCAGCCCAUGCACAAUACCGCACGUUUAAUGUAUACGCAUACUAUUUCUCGUGCUUUUGUGCUAUUUUGCCAAUUGAUUCUCUGGUGUCAUCUGCCGAUUGACUUUGUCUAUUUAUCCGCUUUGCGCUUUUACUUAACACCAUAGAAAUAGAAUUAACAAAUUCACGUAAAUGCACUUCUCCCAUUAAAAAACUCCAAGCAAUUCUUUUAAAAACUUUAUUUGUGGUUAUAAAUUGCAACACAAGAUGGCGCUGCUUUUUCUCAGUAUUUGACUGUUUGUGUCGAAUCUGUGUGCGAAUGUUUGUUAACUGUGUUAAAAUUCGAUAUAAACUGAUUGUGUCAUCUACUUUUGAGUGUUUUCAAUCUUUUAUGUGAUAUUCAAGUGAAGAACAUCAAAUGGAUAAUUGGUGUGCAAUGGCUAAAUUUUUGAACAGCUAUGCCAGCUGCUGAAUUGUGAAAAACUGUUUGCAACCAACUACUUUUGCAUUCAAUCAAGUUAUUCUAACACUAAUUGAGAGCUUGUGAAACCUAUAAAUGGUAAAGGAUGUCGCCUAAGGAGAAAGGUUACGAAUAACACAAAUCCUAUGGUUUAAAUACCAUCAUCUCAUUCUGACGUCCUUAAUCCAUUCAACAAUUCAUCUCAGCUGUUAUUUGACAAGUGCACUGUAUUUUUUGUCAGCAAUCAUUAACCAUCACCAUUUCAGCAACCUUCUUCUCACUUCUAGUGAGCCUCUCAAGUGACCAGAUUUUGUGUUGAGCUCGUGGAACUAAAAGUGCAAAGGGUGCUGGCCCUGAUGGAUUUGACAAGUGCACCGUAUGCUGUGUUUGCAACCAUUAACUACCACCAUUUCAGCAAUCAUCUCAUCAUUUCUACUGAACCUUUUGUGUGAAAGGAUUUUGUGUUCAGAGUUCGUGGAACUUAAAAUGCAAAGGAUACUGGCCCUGAAGGAAAGUCAUCAACGAUGCAAAAUUUGUGGAUUGGAAUAUCUCAUGUAUAGGUUCUUUUAGCCACUCAUCAUUUCAUUUUGCCAACCAACACACGUCUUUGGCUCGCCCGUCACCCCAUCUUCAGCUCGCCCGUCGCCCCGUCUUCGCCUCGCCCGUCGCCCCGUCUUCGCCUCGCCCGUCGCCCCGUCUUCGCCUCGCCCGUCACCCCGUCUUUGGCUCGCCCGUCGCCCCGUCUUCGCCUCGCCCGUCGCCCCGUCUUCGCCUCGCCCGUCGCCCCGUCUUCGCCUCGUCAUCGCCCCGUCUUUGUUGGUAUCGUUGUAUUUAGUAAUGUGUUUGUGCUAAUUAACCCGUUGGCUGCCACCCACUUUGAUCCCCUUUUUUUUUUAGCUUGUUAGGGUCCGGCAGCGCUGUUCUACCCAAUGGUCUAUAUGCCAUGGGUGGGACAGUUGCACAAGCCGUGUGGCUCAAAGUCGAUCGUCGAGGCAAUGCACCAUUAGGAACUCCCCCCUUGUCGAUGCGGUGAUGGUUGCCUGGGGUGUGCAUUCCCGUAACGGCUUCCAUCAUCGUGUCAGCCCGGACUUGUCUUCGGACAAGUCCCCCUUGGUCGUGAUCCCUCUGAUGGCGAUGUAGAUAGCGUAGUUGUAGUGGCGUGGCAGCCAACGGGUUAGUUAAGUGUAUUUGUGUAUGUAUUGUAUAUGUGUUGUAUUGUAUUGUGAAAUGUAAAACGUAGUGGUGGAAU